This 429-nucleotide ribosomal RNA is filed under the name Bacteroidota bacterium. RNAcentral describes it as "Bacteroidetes bacterium partial 16S ribosomal RNA". It matches the Rfam family "Bacterial small subunit ribosomal RNA", at positions 355 to 776 of the family's 1533-position model. The record is from RNAcentral. Lineage: Bacteria; Pseudomonadati; Bacteroidota.
UAGGGAAUCUUCGGCAAUGGGGGGAACCCUGACCGAGCAACGCCGCGUGAGUGAAGAAGGUUUUCGGAUCGUAAAGCUCUGUUGUUAAGGAAGAACGAGUGUGAGAAUGGAAAGUUCAUGCUGUGACGGUACUUAACCAGAAAGGGACGGCUAACUACGUGCCAGCAGCCGCGGUAAUACGUAGGUCCCGAGCGUUGUCCGGAUUUAUUGGGCGUAAAGCGAGCGCAGGCGGUUAGAAAAGUCUGAAGUGAAAGGCAGUGGCUCAACCAUUGUAGGCUUUGGAAACUGUUUAACUUGAGUGCAGAAGGGGAGAGUGGAAUUCCAUGUGUAGCGGUGAAAUGCGUAGAUAUAUGGAGGAACACCGGUGGCGAAAGCGGCUCUCUGGUCUGUAACUGACGCUGAGGCUCGAAAGCGUGGGGAGCGAACAUG